RNAcentral lists this small nuclear RNA (22 nucleotides) under Arabidopsis thaliana (thale cress). Its description in RNAcentral is "snRNA_11488". The record is from RNAcentral. Lineage: Eukaryota; Viridiplantae; Streptophyta; Magnoliopsida; Brassicales; Brassicaceae.
CCGAGACUACCUGUGGGUACCC